RNAcentral lists this ribosomal RNA (787 nucleotides) under uncultured bacterium. RNAcentral describes it as "bacterial SSU rRNA". It matches the Rfam family "Bacterial small subunit ribosomal RNA", at positions 8 to 796 of the family's 1533-position model. The record is from RNAcentral.
AGAGUUUGAUCAUGGCUCAGGACGAACGCUGGCGGCGUGCUUAACACAUGCAAGUCGAACGGAAGGGUCUCUUCGGAGAUGCUCGAGUGGCGAACGGGUGAGUAACACGUGGGUGAUCUGCCCUGCACUUCGGGAUAAGCUUGGGAAACUGGGUCUAAUACCGGAUAGGACCACAUGCUGCAUGGUGUGUGGUGGAAAGUUUGUAAUGGUGUGGGAUGGGCCCGCGGCCUAUCAGCUUGUUGGUGGGGUGAUGGCCUACCAAGGCGACGACGGGUAGCCGGCCUGAGAGGGUGUCCGGCCACACUGGGACUGAGAUACGGCCCAGACUCCUACGGGAGGCAGCAGUGGGGAAUAUUGCACAAUGGGCGCAAGCCUGAUGCAGCGACGCCGCGUGGGGGAUGACGGCCUUCGGGUUGUAAACCUCUUUCACCAUCGACGAAGGCCUGCUUUUGGGUGGGUUGACGGUAGGUGGAGAAGAAGCACCGGCCAACUACGUGCCAGCAGCCGCGGUAAUACGUAGGGUGCGAGCGUUGUCCGGAAUUACUGGGCGUAAAGAGCUCGUAGGUGGUUUGUCGCGUUGUUCGUGAAAUUCCCUGGCUUAACUGGGGGGCGUGCGGGCGAUACGGGCAGACUGGAGUACUGCAGGGGAGACUGGAAUUCCUGGUGUAGCGGUGGAAUGCGCAGAUAUCAGGAGGAACACCGGUGGCGAAGGCGGGUCUCUGGGCAGUAACUGACGCUGAGGAGCGAAAGCGUGGGGAGCGAACAGGAUUAGAUACCCCAGUAGUCC